This is a non-coding RNA of Araneus ventricosus, 80 nucleotides long. NCBI's taxonomy places the organism in Eukaryota, Metazoa, Arthropoda, Arachnida, Araneae, Araneidae. The record is from the annotation of a GenBank genome assembly.
UGGCACCGGCGAGAUUCGAACUCACGGUCUCCUGUUUACUAGACAGGCGUUUUAACCAACUAACUUUAACCAAUUGUGCU